Molecule: non-coding RNA, 131 nt
Organism: Xenopus laevis (African clawed frog)
Lineage: Eukaryota; Metazoa; Chordata; Amphibia; Anura; Pipidae
Source: Rfam
AAGCAUGAUGGAUUAUGCUAUUGCUCCUUCUUUAGCGGGACAGCAGUAUUUCCAAACAUGCAAGAAAAACCUAAGGAGUUGUCAGGGUUACCAGUUGUAAAGUAGUAGCUGAGUAUAUUACUCCUACAGUA